CAAAAAGAAACUUCCCAUGCCGGGAAUCGAACCCGGGCCGCGUGGGUGAAAACCACGAAUCCUAACCACUAGACCACAUGGGACUAUGAACAUACAUCUCUAGUUUGAGUAGACAUACUGCAGAAGUU
This is a non-coding RNA of Caenorhabditis elegans, 128 nucleotides long. Lineage: Eukaryota; Metazoa; Nematoda; Chromadorea; Rhabditida; Rhabditidae. The record is from Ensembl.